Non-coding RNA from Acanthosepion pharaonis, 101 nucleotides. The record is from the annotation of a GenBank genome assembly. NCBI's taxonomy places the organism in Eukaryota, Metazoa, Mollusca, Cephalopoda, Sepiida, Sepiidae.
ACGUUGAAACACCGGUUCCCGUACUAUCACCGAAGUUAAGCAAUGUCUAGUCUCAUUAGUAUUUAGGUGGAUAACCGUUUAGGAAUACCAGGUGCUGUAAG